UAUAAAUAAAUUUGACUUGACUUGACUUAAAUAGUAAUUGUGCAUUAAAUGUGCAGAAGUGUGUUCUUUGUAGAGGACUUGUUAACUUGUUUUCACUUACAUAAUCAACAGAACCAGAGCGCUCAAACUUUUGUAUACGACUGUAGUAUGUUAGUGUGCAAUUUUGGCUGCAGCCCAGGAUCAAGAACCGCUUCCUUUCUACACAUUCAGUAAUUCUACUGGUAGAAACAGAGACUGCAUAGGUGUGGGGCGUCUCCCAUUAUCACGUCAUUUCAUACUUUCAGUAUCCACACAUCCACUCUUCAGGGUGUUUAUAAAAGCACCUAAUGUUUGCUAAACCCUGUUGAUCUUUUUCGACACAUCACAUUCGGAGGCCAAAGCAGUCAUACUGGGCAUGAGGUUGCUGCAUUUUUUGCGGGGUACCAUCUCAAUGAACCCUCACUGUCCUCAGCAGCCAGGGGCUUGGGGAAUUCCUUGCCACUACAUGUUCUGCCUACACCCACCACUAGGGGAACCGUGUUAUCCACCAAUAGGUCCAGGACAUUAUGGGUUGUAUGGACAUGGAGAAUACGUCCACUUUAAUAAGCAUCAUGGUCACAGACAUCAUCACUGGCACUACCAAGGACAUCAUCAUGGUUUUUUUCACCAUCAUGGUCAUCAUGGCUUUGUCAACAUGAAAACACAAGGAUGGGACAAAGUGAGACCACCCAACAUUACUAAACAUUACUGAAACAGAUAUCUGCUAGAAGAAAGAUCAGAAAUAUGAAAACUUGAGAUAUAAUAUAAUCUGGUUUCUCUUUUCCUAAAUGUAACAACAAAUAUCCAGUUUGUUUAAGAUUCAUUAUUAAAACCGUUAACAAAGAAUAACAAAAAAGCUCUAAAUAAAAGCUAAAUAAAUAUGGCAAGUAGGACUUUGAACAUACAUACCUGCAAAUGCUUGCUUCUUGUAUUAUAUGUUGAUUAUUCAAAACAGUUUUUUUUUAAUCUAAAGCUAUUUAUUGAAUAAAUUAUGCAUUUCAUUACAUUGGAUAGCAAAAUGUACAUCUGCAUUAUUUCUGCUCAUUUUACUUGAAGUCAGACAACUCAACGUUCAAAAGUUAACAUAUAUAAAAUACUUUUGGCAUGCUUCAAACAAACAACUAUGAAUGCAAUCAAUCCCAUCAAUUAAACAUUGGUUAACUAUGAAUAAAAAACAAGUGAGCCUGGUCUGUGCAAACUGUAUACACUGUCUGGUCCAUAAGUAUUUGGACAUUGACAAGGUAGUAUCUUAUUUUUUUUAAGUUUUAAAUGUAGCCACUAGAAGCUGUGUAGUGUAGAAUGUAUUGCAGAGCAGAACAUAUUUUGUAAUUUUGUCAGCUGUCAAUUAUAAUACAUAAUACACUGUUCUAAACAGUGACUAUUAGAGCUAGGACUUCAGUUCAGUGUCAAAAAAAAAGUGAAAAAUAAGGAAAAGAGCACUGUGCCAGGCACCCGUCCCCCAGGGUCCGAUGAUGGCCGCGAGAGCUGGCAAGAAGGCGGAGCUCGAACCCCAAGCGCAGACGACAGCCCAUGAUGACAGCGGGGGAAGGAUGAUAACCGUGAGCGCUGAGGGGACGGCACCUGAGUUCCGAGCCCCACCUCCUGGGGACUGAAAAGUCUUGACAAGCCACUCAGUUGUGGUGGGUGUAAAUGUGUGUGA
This is a long non-coding RNA of Colossoma macropomum (tambaqui), 1678 nucleotides long. RefSeq lists it as uncharacterized. The transcript is spliced from 3 exons. NCBI's taxonomy places the organism in Eukaryota, Metazoa, Chordata, Actinopteri, Characiformes, Serrasalmidae. The record is from RefSeq and is a predicted model, not a curated record.